AUGGACGAUGAUAUCACUGCAAUCGUUGUUGACAAUGGCUCUGGCGUGUGCAAGGCCGGCUUCGCAGGCAAUGAUAACCCCUAGGCCAUCUUCCCCUCCAUUGUAGGGCGCCCCAGGCACCAGGGCUUGAUGGUGGACAUGGGACAGAAGGACUACUAUGUGGGUGAUGAGGCCCAGAGCAAAAGAGACAUCCUGACCCUGAAGUACCCCAUCAAGCAUGGCAUUGUCACCAACUGGGACGACAUGGAGAAGAUCUGGCACCACAUUUUCUACAACCAGCUGCGUGUGGCUCCUGAGGAGCACCCCAUGCUGCUGACUGAGGCCCCCCUGAACCCCAAAGCCAAACGCCAAAAGAUGGCCCAGAUCAUGUUUGAGACCUUCAACACCCCAGGCAUGUAUGUAGCCAUCCUGGCACAGCUGUCCCUGUACGCCUCUGGCCGUACCAGUGGCAUUGUGAUCAACUCCGGUGAUGGGAUCACCCACACUGUGCCCAUCUAUGAGGGGUAUGCCGUCCCUUACGCCAUCCUGCGUCUGGACCUGGCUGGCCGGGACCUGACUGACUACCUCAUGAAGAUCCUCUCCGAGCGUGGCUACAGCUUCACCACCACAGCUGGGCGGGAAACGGUGUAUGACAUCAAGGAGAAGCUGUGCUAUGUCACUCUGGACUUUGAGCAGGAAAUGGCCAUGGCAGCCUCCAUCUCCACCCUGGAGCAGAGCUACGAGCUGCCCAAUGGCCAGGUCAUUACCAUUGGCAACGAGCGGUUCCGUUGCCCUGAGGCGCUCUUCCAGCCUUCCUUCCUGGGCAUGGAAUCUUAUGGCAUUCACGAAACUACCUUCAACUCCAUCAUGAAGUGUAAUGUGGACAUCCACAAAGACCUGUACGCCAACACAGUGCUGUCUGGUGGUACCACCAUGUACCCUGGCAUUGCUGACAGGAUGCAGAAGGAGAUCACGGCCCUGGCACCCAGCACGAUGAAGAUCAGGAUCAUUGCUCCUCCUGAGCGCAAGUACUCUGUGUGGAUCGGCGGCUCCAUCCUGGCCUCGCUGCCCAGCUUCCAGCAGAUGUGGAUCAGCAAGCAGCAGUAUGAGGAGUAUGGCCCCUCCAUCGCGUACGGCAAAAGCUUCUGGCGGACUAUGGCUUAGUUGCGUUACACCCUUUCUUGACAAAACCUAACUUGCCUAGCAAACAAAAUGAGAUUGGCAUGGCUUUAUUUGUUUUGUUUUGUUUUGUUUUGUUUUGGCUUGACUCAGGAUACUGGAAUGGUAAAGGUGACAGUAGUCAGUUGGAGCAAGCAUCCCCCAAAAUUCUACAAUGUGGCCGAGAACUUUGUACAUUGUUCUUUUUUUUAAUAGUCAUUCCAAAUAUCAUGAGAUGCAUUGUUACAGGAAUUCCCCUGUCCUCCCAAAAGCCACCCCACUUCUCUCUAAGGAGAAUGGCCCAGUCCUCUCCCAUGUCCACACGAGCAUUGUUUUUGUGUAAAUUAUGUAAUGAAAAAAAUUUAAAAAUUUUUUAAAUUUCAUCUCAGUAUUUUUAAAUUUUGUUUUAUUUUGAAAGAUUUUAGCCUCUGUGGCUACCCCAUUUUUGUCCCUCAACUUGAGAUGUAUGAAGGCUUUUGGUCUCCCUGGGAGUGGGUGGAGGCAGCUAGGGCUUACCUGUACACUGACUUAAGACGAGUUAAAUAAAA
RNA transcript from Cebus imitator (Panamanian white-faced capuchin), 1685 nucleotides. It is a transcript of the gene named actin, cytoplasmic 1-like, with no coding region annotated. NCBI's taxonomy places the organism in Eukaryota, Metazoa, Chordata, Mammalia, Primates, Cebidae. The transcript has a single exon. The record is from RefSeq and is a predicted model, not a curated record.